Molecule: long non-coding RNA, 395 nt
Filed under: Mustela putorius furo (domestic ferret)
Lineage: Eukaryota; Metazoa; Chordata; Mammalia; Carnivora; Mustelidae
Description: lncRNA (ENSMPUG00000024651.1)
Source: RNAcentral
GCCCCAUCAUGCUUGGCAGAAGCUCCCUGCAUGCUGUUGCCUCAUUAUAUUGCUCAUAAUUAGAUUGAGUCUCACAGAGGUAUCUCAGCCUGACAGAUCGUAGGUUACCUACAGAACUCACUGCAAAGGCAUCUUGAAAAUAUCAUUCCCUAUAGACAGGAAGUCAUGUCAGCAAAUGGCUACAGUGGGAGCUAUAGGAGCCUACCUGCCCUAGAUGCCUGAACAAGUAAACAGGAACACUGCAUAAAUGAAGUGUAACGGAAGAAUGUCAAUAGGAUGAAGUGAGAAAAGUCACAUCAUUUCCUAAGGUAGAUGAGACAAAAAGGGAGAAGGGUCUUUUUUCCUCAAAAGUGAGUGCCAUGAGGCAUUUCGGGGCAGGGUCAGCAUGGACAGCC